AUUGAACGCUGGCGGCAUGCCUUACACAUGCAAGUCGAACGGCAGCAUGGAGAGCUUGCUCUCUGAUGGCGAGUGGCGGACGGGUGAGUAAAGCAUCGGAACGUACCGUGUAGUGGGGGAUAACGUAGCGAAAGUUACGCUAAUACCGCAUACGCACUGAGGUGGAAAGCAGGGGAUCGUAAGACCUUGCGCUAUACGAGCGGCCGAUGUCAGAUUAGCUAGUUGGUAGGGUAGAGGCCUACCAAGGCGACGAUCUGUAGCGGGUCUGAGAGGAUGAUCCGCCACACAGGGACUGAGACACGGCCCAGACUCCUACGGGAGGCAGCAGUGGGGAAUUUUGGACAAUGGGGGCAACCCUGAUCCAGCCAUGCCGCGUGAGUGAAAAAGGCCGUCGGGUUGUAAAGCUCUUUCGGCCGGGAAGAAAUCGCACAGGCUAAUACCCUGUGUGGAUGACGGUACCGGCAUAAGAAGCACCGGCUAACUACGUGCCAGCCGCCGCCGUAA
This 504-nucleotide ribosomal RNA is filed under the name uncultured bacterium. RNAcentral describes it as "partial 16S ribosomal RNA". It matches the Rfam family "Bacterial small subunit ribosomal RNA", at positions 30 to 523 of the family's 1533-position model. The record is from RNAcentral.